RNA transcript from Carya illinoinensis, 4399 nucleotides. It is a transcript of the gene named DNA-directed RNA polymerase subunit beta''-like, with no coding region annotated. The record is from RefSeq and is a predicted model, not a curated record. NCBI's taxonomy places the organism in Eukaryota, Viridiplantae, Streptophyta, Magnoliopsida, Fagales, Juglandaceae. The transcript has a single exon.
AUGGAGGUACUUAUGGCAGAACGGGCCAAUCUGGUCUUUCACAAUAAAGUCAUAGAUGGAACUGCCGUUAAACGACUUAUUAGCAGAUUAAUAGAUCACUUCGGAAUGGCAUAUACAUCACAUAUCCUGGAUCAAGUAAAGACUCUGGGGUUCCAACAAGCCACUGCUACAUCCAUUUCAUUAGGAAUUGAUGAUCUUUUAACAAUACCUUCUAAGGGAUGGUUAGUCCAAGAUGCAGAACAACAAAGUUUGGUUUUGGAAAAACACCAUCAUUAUGGAAAUGUACACGCAGUAGAAAAAUUACGACAAUCCAUUGAGAUAUGGUAUGCUACAAGUGAAUAUUUGCGACAAGAAAUGAAUCCUAAUUUUAGGAUGACUGACCCUUUUAAUCCAGUACAUAUAAUGUCUUUUUCGGGAGCUAGAGGAAAUGCAUCUCAAGUACAUCAAUUAGUAGGUAUGAGAGGAUUAAUGUCGGAUCCACAAGGAUAAAUGAUUGAUUUACCCAUUCAAAGCAAUUUACGUGAAGGACUGUCUUUAACAGAAUAUAUCAUUUCUUGCUACGGAGCCCGCAAAGGAGUUGUAGAUACUGCUGUACGAACAUCAGAUGUUGGAUAUCUUACACGCAGACUUGUUGAAGUAGUUCAACACAUUGUUGUACAUAGAACAGAUUGUGGUACCAUCCGAGGUAUUUCUGUGAGUCCUCGAAAUGGGAUGAUGCCGGAAAGAAUUUUUAUCCAAACAUUAAUUGGUCGUGUAUUAGCAGAUGAUAUAUAUAUAUGGGCCCACGAUGCAUUGCCGUUAGAAAUCAAGAUAUUGGGAUUGGACUUGUCAAUCGAUUCAUCACCUUUCAAACACAAACAAUAUCUAUUCGAACCCCCUUUACUUGUAGGAGUACAUCUUGGAUCUGCCGAUUAUGUUAUGGCCGAAGUCCUACUCAUGGCGACCUGGUCGAAUUGGGAGAAGCUGUAGGUAUUAUUGCGGGUCAAUCUAUUGGAGAACCGGGCACUCAACUAACAUUAAGAACUUUUCAUACCGGCGGAGUAUUCACAGGAGGUACUGCAGAACAUAUAAGAGCCCCUUCUAAUGGAAAAAUAAGAUUCAAUGAGGAUUUGGUUCAUCCUACACGUACACGUCAUGGGCAUCCCGCUUUUCUAUGUUAGAUAGACUUGUAUGUAACUAUUGAGAGUGAAGAUAUUAUACACAACGUGACUAUUCCACCAAAGAGUUUUCUUUUAGUCCAAAAUGAUCAAUAUGUACAAUCAGAACAAGUUAUUGCUGAGAUUCGCGCGGGAACAUAUACUUUUAAUUUUAAAGAAAGGGUUCGAAAACAUAUUUAUUCUGACUCAGAGGGAGAAAUGCACUGGAGUACCGAUGUAUACCAUGCACCGGAAUUUACAUACAGUAAUGUGCAUCUCUUACCAAAAACAAGUCAUUUAUGGAUAUUAUCAGGAGGUUCGCGCCGCUCUAGUGUAGUCCCUUUUUCGCUUCAAAAGGAUCAAGAUAAAAUUAACGUUAAUUCUCUUUCUGUUGAAAAAAGAUCUAUUUCUAGUCUUUCAGGAGACAAUGAUCAAGUAAGACAAAAAUUCUUUAGUUCAGAUCUUUUUGGAAAAAAGAAAAAAAGAAAGCGGGAUUCCUGAUUAUUCAGAACUUAAUCGAAUCAUAUGUACGGGUCAUUUUAAUCUCAUAUAUCCUGCUAUUCUCUACGAAAAUUAUGAUUUAUUGGCAAAGAGAUGAAGAAAUAGAUUCAUCAUCCCAUUCCAAUCGAUUCAAGAACGAGAAAAAGAGCUAAUGCCUCCUGCUGGUAUUUCGAUUGAAAUACCCGUAAACGGUAUUUUUCGCAAAAAUAGUAUUCUUGCUUAUUUUGAUGAUCCUCAAUACAGAAGAAAAAAUUCAGGAAUUACUAAAUAUGGGACUAUAGGAGUGCACUCAAUCCUCAAAAAAGAGGAUUUGAUUGAGUAUCGAGAAGUCAAAGAAUUUGAGCCAAAAUACCAAAUGAAAAUAGAUCGAUUUUUUUUCAUUCCCGAGGAAGUACAUAUUUUGCCCGAAUCUUCUUCCAUAAUGGUACAGAACAAUAGUCUCAUUGGAGUAGAUACACGAAUCACUUUAAAUAUAAGAAGCCGAGCGGGCGGAUUGGUCCGAGUGGAGAGAAAAAAAAAAGGAUUGAACUUAAAAUCUUUUCUGGAGAUAUCCAUUUUCCUGGAAAUAUGGAUAAGAUAUCCCGACACAGUGGUAUCUUUAUACCGCUUAGAACGGCAAAAAAAAAUGCUAAGGAAUCAAAAAAAAAGUUGCAAGAUUGGAUCUAUGUCCAAUGGAUCACACCUAACAAGAAAAAGUAUUUUGUUUUGGCUCGACCUGUAAUCAUAUAUGAAAUAGCAGACGGUAUAAAUUUCGUAACACUUUUCUCCCAGCAUCUUUUGCAUGAAAGGGAUAAUCUGGAACUUAGAGUUGUCAAUUAUAUCCUUUAUGGAAAUGGCAAACCCAUUCGGGGAAUUUAUGGCACAAAUAUUCAAUUAGUUCGGACUUGUUUAUUGUUGAAUUGGGACCAAGACAAAAAAAGUUCUUCUGUCGAAGAAGCUCACGCUUCUUUUGUUGAAGUAAAUACAAAUGGUCUAAUUCGAGAUUUCCUGCGAAUCGAUUUAGUAAAAUCCUAUAUUUCGUAUAUCAGAAAAAGGAAAGAUCCGUCAGGUUCAGGAUUGAUCUUUGAUGAGAGGUCAGAUCCCAACAAUAUCAAUCCAUUUUAUUCUAUUUAUUCCAAGGCAAGGAUUCAACAAUCACUUAGUCAAAAUCAAGUAACUAUUCGUACGUUGUUGAAUAGGAAUAAGGACUCUCAAUCUUUGAUAAUUUUGUCAUUAUCUAAUUGUUUUCAAAUGGGUCCAUUCAACGAUGCAAAAUAUUACAAUGGAAUAAAAAAAGAAUCAAUGAAAAGAGAUACUCUAAUUCCAAUUAGGAAUUCGUUGGGGCCUUUAGGAUUAAGAAGAGCCUCUAAAAGUAAGAAUUUUGAUUCAUUUUACCAUUUAAUAACUUAUAAUCAGAUCUCGGUAACUAAAUAUUUACAACUUGACAAUUUAAAACAGACUUUUCAAGUACUUAAAUAUUAUUUAAUAGAUGAAAAUGGUAGAAUUUAUAAUCCCGAUCCAUGCAGUAACACCAUUUUGAAUCCAUUCAAUUUGAAUUGGCAUUUUCUCCAUCAUCAUUUUCUCCAUCAUAAUUAUUGUGAAGAACCAUCUACAAUAAUUAGCCUUGGGCAGUUUAUUUGUGAAAAUGUAUGUAUAGCGAAAAACGGACCGCACCUAAAAUCGGGUCAAGUUCUGAUUGUUCAAAUUGACUUUGUAGUAAUAAGAUCAGCUAAACCUUAUUUGGCCACUCUGGGAGCAACUGUUCAUGGUCAUUAUGGAGAAAUCCUUUACGAAGGAGAUACGUUAGUUACAUUUAUGUAUGAAAAGUCGAGAUCUGGAGAUAUAACGCAAGGUCUUCCAAAAGUGGAACAAGUGUUAGAAGUUCGUUCGAUUGAUUCAAUAUCGAUGAAUCUAGAAAAGAGGAUUGAGGGUUGGAACGAGCGCAUAGCAAAAAUUCUUGGAAUUCCUUGGGAAUUCUUGAUUGGUGUUGAGCUAACUAUAGUACAAAGUCAUAUCUCUUUGGUUAAUAAGAUCCAAAAAGUUUAUCGAUCUCAGGGGGUGCAGAUUCAUAAUCGGCAUAUAGAGAUUAUUGUGCGUCAAAUAACAUCAAAAGGGUUGGUUUCAAAAGAUAGAAUGUCUAAUGUUUUUUCACCCGGAGAACUAAUUGAAUGGUUGCGGGCGGAACGAACAGGGCGUGCUUUGGAAGAAGCGAUCUGUUACCGAGCCAUCUUAUUGGGAAUAACGAAAGCAUCUCUAAAUACUCAAAGUUUCAUAUCCGAAGCGAGUUUUCAAGAAACUGCUAGAGUUUUAGCAAAAGCCGCUCUCCAGGGUCGCAUCGAUUGGUUGAAAGGUUUGAAAGAGAACGUUGUUCUCGGGGGGAUGGUACCCGUUGGUACUGGAUUCAAAGGAUUAGUGCAACGUUCAAGGCAACCUAACAACAUUCCUUUGGAAACAAAAAAGAAUGAUUUAUUCGAGGUGAAAAUGAGAGAUAUGUUGUUCUACCACUAAGAAUUAUUUGAUUUUUUCAUUUCAAAGAAUUUAUACGAUACACCUAAACAAUCAUUGCGAGGAUUUAAUGAUUCCUAAGAGCAGAUUCUUAACUAUUUGCGGUCAUUUUUUUUAUUUGGUAAUAGUAAUAAAGAUAAUAACAAAUAGAAUAGAAAUAAAUUAAUGGCUUGAAUCAUGUAUCAAUGGCUAAUAUCUAUUAGGGGUAGAAAAGAAAGUUCCAUCGGAACAAUUAUUUAUUUCUAUUUCAGGGUACCUCGUCUCUUUUUUUUUUUUUU